GAUGAAGAACGUAGCGAAAUGCGAUAAGUAAUGUGAAUUGCAGAAUUCAGUGAAUCAUCGAAUCUUUGAACGCACAUUGCGCCCGCCAGCAUUCUGGCGGGCAUGCCUGUUCGAGCGUCAUUUCAACCCUCGAGCCCCCCCGGGGGCCUCGGUGUUGGGGGACAGCACACCAGCCGCCCCCGAAAUGCAGUGGCGACCCCGCCGCAGCCUCCCCUGCGUAGUAGCACACACCUCGCACCGGAGCGCGGAGGCGGUCACGCCGUAAAACGCCCAACUUUCUUAGAGUUGACCUCGGAUCAGGUAGGAAUACCCGCUGAACUUAAGCAUAUCAAUAAGCGGAGGA
This 343-nucleotide unclassified non-coding RNA is filed under the name soil metagenome. Its description in RNAcentral is "partial contains 5.8S ribosomal RNA, internal transcribed spacer 2, and large subunit ribosomal RNA". The stretch from base 1 to 120 matches the Rfam family "5.8S ribosomal RNA", at positions 35 to 154 of the family's 154-position model. The record is from RNAcentral.